This 511-nucleotide long non-coding RNA is filed under the name Equus caballus (horse). RNAcentral's name for it is "lncRNA (ENSECAG00000035696.2)". The record is from RNAcentral. Lineage: Eukaryota; Metazoa; Chordata; Mammalia; Perissodactyla; Equidae.
GAAAGAAGUUUAGCCUGCCCUUCAUGCUCACUGUGCUUUAUUGACACUGCGAAGAGGAUGCUGACAGCCUGAAGCUCUGUUUCUUCCUGAGAACUGAAGCUACUUCAUCUCAAGAGAGACAGAGGAAAACUUCAGUGAUCUGCCAAGUCACCAGAAAGACCAAGGAGUUGCCCAGGAUCUCCCAGAAUCAAGAGGAAGCUAAAGGAACUGUGUCAUCUCAUAGCCAAACAUUUGUUGGUCUCUCUCAUUCCGCCAUCAUCGAGUCAAUACCUACGACGCGGCAGGAACACCAUCAGGUGCUGGGGACUGCGGGUGUCAGACAGGGCCGCUUAACCAUGAGCGACUUUGUCUGCUAAGUAUAUUUAGCAAUGGCCGGAGACAUUUUGGUUGUCACAACUGGGGAGGGGGCUACUGACAUCCGAUGGAUAGAGGCCACGGAUGCUAAACCCCUUACAAUGCAAAGGACAACCGUGCACAGAAUAAAUUAGCCCACGAUGUCAAUAAAGCAAGG